ACACACACACACACACACACACACACACACACACACACACACACCUUGGGUCCCAGGCAACCACCAUGGGAACCUUAGCCCAGUAGAGUCUCUCUCCCGCGGGAACAUCACCUGUUCUCAUAAAGUUGCAGCAUUGUUUCAAUAAUAUUGAACUUUUCUCACAGCUUUGGUAGCCUAUAUAAAUGCUUUUUUGAGGCCUUGCUCACAGUUCAUUGUGUGGCAGCACCAUGGCAUGUCGAUAUACCAUAAGUGAGGAUAUUGAUUACAUAUGUGAUCACCACACUGGUGAGGAGGAGAGAGGCCAGGAAACUGGCAGUGAGGACACUCCUGUGUCCUGCUGUCCAAAGAAAAGGAAACAUGUGCUCUGAUGACAACUCUGCACAGGGAUGCUGCUGUGAUCACCAGGGAGGACAAGAAACCCAAGAAAGCCAUCCUGGAUUACAACAAGAACAAAGGCAGAGUUGACAACCUUGAUAAGGUUACUGGCACAUACUCUUGUCAGAGGAAGACACGUUGGCCCAUGGUGGUGAUAUUCAACAUGUUAGACGUGUCAACAUACAACACAUUCGUGCUGUGGAUGGAGCUCAAUCCAAGAUGGAAGCAGGGGAAAAACAUCUGAUAGAGUGAUGAAUAUUGUAAUGUUGUUGUUCUUGUUAGUUGUUCUUUAAUGUAUUAAGACAUUGAUCUUGUAAUAUUGUGAAAUUGUUUUGGGAUAAUUUCCAUUAUACACAAAUAAAAUAUUCCGGUCACUUUUGACCGGGAACACGACUGGUGUUACUUUAUGUGACUAUAUAAAAAAAUGAAAUGGUUUCAAAACAAAUGUCCUUGGUAAAUUUGACCCAAAGUAGUCUGUGAUAAACAAUAUACUAUGUUUCAUCUGAUUAUUUUCUUAUAGUCAAAAUAAUCCAGAAAUUAUGCUUUUUAGAACUCGAAUUCAAGAUGUAUACGGUCAGAUCAGUGAGGUAUAUAGGCCAUAAAUAACAAAUAGAAGUUCAAAACUUGUAAUGUUCACAAGAACUGAAGUUGAUAAAAAGAUCUAACACAACAAAUAGUGAUAAUUAUGUAUUUUUACAGUUUUUAUGAUGAGUUUAAAUGGAACGGUCAUUUUCGACCGGCAACACAAAAUUGUUUAACAUGAAACGAACACAACAUGAGGGUUAAAAACAGAAGCAGUGCACAGAAACUGUUGCUGGUAAUUUGUGUUGUGGUGUUACUUAACAACACUCUUACUUUGCCCUCAGGAAUAAAGACAGAUCAUCAUCUAAUUAUCAGACCUACCCCGAAAUAGAAAGUGAAGGGUUCACUGAGAAUCCAUGAUCUGCUCCUCUUCGGUGAUUUAUCUCACUGCAGCGUAUCUGCGAACCAGGAGCUCAUACCAUGCUGCCAUUCAGCAUGCAAAUCUCCUCAGCACAAGAGUCUACAUGUUUUAUCUGAUAUACUGAAACGCAAGGGCUCAGAGUGCUUUGUGUGUGUAUGUGUGUGUGUACUGUAAUAAAAGGCAUUUUUAUCAGUUCUUAUGAAAGUGCCAUAAAAUGACUCCAUAUAGCUUGUUCAGCAAAAUCCAAGUCUCCACAAGACCUGAGAUCACAAAUUGAUUUGAUGUUACCACCAGUGAUGAGCAGUCAAGCUCAUGCUCGAACUUCAGACAGGUUGCGGGUUAAAAAAAGGUGUAAAGGACAUCUCCUCAAGUCAAUUAAGGAUCUUUGGGCUUCUAGGGAUUUUUUAUGGGGUUUUUAAGGUUGUUCCUUAAAACACCCUGCUUUCCAUCAGCAUGAGGCUGAGAAGAUAAUGACUGAAUUUUUGGUUUGAACUCAUCCUUUAAAAGAGGUCGCUGACUCUGCAAGCCACAGCUCCUCUGGCAGGACACUUCAGCGCUCUGACUGCAAAAGCCCCGCCACCUUUUGUCUCGAGCCGGGUCUCAGGAACAGUCAUUAAAGCCCUGGCCCAGGAUCUGAGGCUGCGCCCUGGCUCACAGGGAUGCAGCAACUCAGCAGUGUAGCUGGGAGCUUAACUGUGAAGUGCGUUAAGUCAAAUCUGACAAUCAAUGCUAAAUCUGAGCGGCAACCAGUGAAGAGAGGCUAAGUCUUCUAUUAUGAAAAGUUUAAAGCUGAACAGUUGUGUUUCGUAAGCUGAAAGCAUGGGAUCACUGAAUAAAAUGUAGCACAAUAAUCUAACCAAGAUGAAAUAAAGGCAUGGAUGGCAUAACUAGUCUCAUAUCACGCCUACAUUCAAAUAUCUGUGGGAUGUGGGAGGUUAAGCAAACUCUGAUUUCUUAACAGCAGUCUGUUACUGACUUUCAGAGGAGGAACAAAGAAGUCAGUCUGCCAUCAUGGGUAAAUCUAUGUUGGAUUGCCCCCAACACUUUUACAGAAAACUGAUACUCUUCUUCUAAACUGCUUUAUUUUAACCAGUUUUUACCACCUGAACUGCUAUGUCUUCACUCAGGAAGGAAAAACGUGUCUGCUCGUGAGGUAUCUAUCAAACGAGUUUUUGGGAAAAAGGAACAAUCACAAUGGAAACAAAUGAAGUGAAAAUGACAACAGCCUCACAGCUGAUUUAUGAGAGACGCGCUCCAUUUCCUGGAAGCAUUUGUUAGUGUCAAACAUUGAAGUCAGUUGGCAUCAAAAUAGUACAUCAAAACAACAGUGCAGCUUUGACUAAGAAUUUUUAAAUAACCCAAGACAAAACACAGACUGAAGAAGUAAAA
This is a long non-coding RNA of Acanthopagrus latus (yellowfin seabream), 2707 nucleotides long. RefSeq lists it as uncharacterized. The transcript has 2 exons. The record is from RefSeq and is a predicted model, not a curated record. Lineage: Eukaryota; Metazoa; Chordata; Actinopteri; Spariformes; Sparidae.